Non-coding RNA from Melanotaenia boesemani (Boeseman's rainbowfish), 493 nucleotides. The record is from the annotation of a RefSeq genome assembly. Lineage: Eukaryota; Metazoa; Chordata; Actinopteri; Atheriniformes; Melanotaeniidae.
UACAGUUUGUGCAGAACACUGAGACAGUUUUAAACAUUUCUAAGACAUCUGUUGUAAAGUGCUGAUGUCCAGUAUUUAAUCUCAGAAUGGAAAAAACAGCAAUUUGGAGUAUUUUAUUUGUAGCCACCAUUCAUGGAGUCUGGAGUGAGAUCAAACUGGACCAGUCUUCAUCUGAGCUCAGAAGACCUGGAGAGACAGUGAAGAUGUCAUGUGUCAUAUCUGGGUUUAAAAUGACCAGCUACUACAUUCACUGGAUACGACAGAGACCAGGGAGAUCUCUGGAGUGGAUUGGAAGGAUGGAUGCAGGAUCUAACUCUGCUAUUUAUGGAAGCUCCUUUCAGAGUCGUUUCCCAAUGACUGAAGAUGUUUCCAGCAGCACUCAGUACCUGGAGAUCAGGAGCCUGACAGCAGAAGAUUCUGCUGUUUACUUCUGUGCUCGACACACAGUGUGACUGAAGACAGAGAAGAAGCUGCACAAAAACCUCCACAGACA